CUAUUUCAAUGCUAAAAGUCACUUUUUAUUUUUUUUUUUGUAAAAACAAUUUUUUUCAUGAUCCCAGAAUCGAAACUAAGUUUCAGUGUCUUUACAGCCAAUCGAAACAAGCUAAUUUCAAGCCGAUGCUGCAAACAACUGCUGGCGAAUUCGUAAUUCACAAAUGUCUUCAUACAGCGGACAGAAACAUGUUUCUGCCCGGUGUCAGUUAUAUAUAAUGUUCAUUUGCAGCCUUAUUACUCUCAUUUGUUUACUUGUCACUUCAGCUUUCUCAUUUCAUUUUUCAAGUGACAUUUUUAAUUAACCAAAUAAAAUUAAUAAAAAAGUGAGUGAAAAUAAUAUUUUUGUCUUAUUUACUAUUUAAUAAGUGACUGUAAAUCACAGAUUUCUCAGUCUCUAACAGCUCUCCGCAUCUUUGACUUGAAAUGAACUUAUUUCUUACUGGCUGCUGACAAUGAAUCUUGAAGUUUCGAUGCAGUUGCUGAAGAAGUCCCAAUAAAGGGACGAAACGUCCAAUUUAUGGUCAAAAAUUCUAAUUUUUGAAUUACUGUCCACCUCCCUAUGAUUUUACUAUUUCAUUUAAAAUAAUAUUUUUAUUUUAUAAAAGAUCACACCAUUAGUUUGAAAUUAACUUUUUUCUUACUACCUGCUGACACUGAAACUUCAAGUUCUAAUGCAGAUGAUCAAGAUGCCGGACUUUAUAUACCCCCUAUCGCCGUUAUAAUCAAUGCCGGAAGUGUGACCAUUGAGGGUUAAAAUAAAUAUCAAGUACUUACUCCAUUAAAAUCAUUUCCCAUUUGCGGCAUACGUACUCCAGGUCUAGGUCCAGCAGGAUACCUAGGUCCCAUAAACUGUAACAGUAAUUAAUAUAUAUAAACUUUUUCCAUCGACAUUGAAACCCUUAAUGAAUGUUAUUUUUUAAAAAUAUGAGUACUUAUUAAAUAAAUAUAUAUACAUAUUUUCAGUAAAUUAUACAAGUAUAUAUAUAUUUUUAUUUUUAAUUGGCAAGUUGUGCAAUUCAAAUUUAAAUUGUUAUGAUUUUAAUAAAAAUAUCUACUCGC
Molecule: long non-coding RNA, 1061 nt
Organism: Microplitis mediator
Lineage: Eukaryota; Metazoa; Arthropoda; Insecta; Hymenoptera; Braconidae
Exons: 3
Source: RefSeq, a predicted model, not a curated record